UACGGAGGGUGCGAGCGUUGUCCGGAAUCACUGGGCGUAAAGGGCGCGUAGGCGGUCUGCUAAGCGUGCGGUGAAAGCCCGGGGCUCAACCCCGGGUCUGCCGUGCGAACUGGUGGACUCGAGCACUGUAGAGGCAGGUGGAAUUCCGGGUGUAGCGGUGGAAUGCGUAGAGAUCCGGAAGAACACCGGUGGCGAAGGCGGCCUGCUGGGCAGUUGCUGACGCUGAGGCGCGACAGCGUGGGGAGCAAACAGG
Molecule: ribosomal RNA, 253 nt
Filed under: uncultured bacterium
Lineage: Bacteria
Description: partial 16S ribosomal RNA
Rfam family: Bacterial small subunit ribosomal RNA
Source: RNAcentral